UGACCGCGUAUGAAAGUACGUUUUCGACCUCGGGUGACAGGGAGACAGGUGGUGCAUGGUUGUCGUCAGCUCGUGUCGUGAGAUGUUGGGUUAAGUCCCGCAACGAGCGCAACCCCUACGUUUACGUUGCUAACGCGUGAAGGCGAGCACUCUAGACGAACUGCCGUUGACAAAACGGAGGAAGGUGGGGAUGACGUCAAAUCAUCAUGCCCUUAUGUUCUGGGCUACACACGUGCUACAAUGGCCGGUACAGACGGACGCAAAGCCGCGAGGUGGAGCAAAUCCUAAAAAGCCGGUCUCAGUUCGGAUUGCAGGCUGCAAUUCGCCUGCAUGAAGUCGGAAUCGCUAGUAAUCGCAGGUCAGCAUACUCGCGGUCGAAUACGUUCCCGGGCCUU
This 395-nucleotide ribosomal RNA is filed under the name uncultured Pelotomaculum sp. Its description in RNAcentral is "bacterial SSU rRNA". It matches the Rfam family "Bacterial small subunit ribosomal RNA", at positions 992 to 1382 of the family's 1533-position model. Lineage: Bacteria; Bacillati; Bacillota; Clostridia; Eubacteriales; Desulfotomaculaceae. The record is from RNAcentral.